RNAcentral lists this ribosomal RNA (424 nucleotides) under Verrucomicrobiota bacterium. RNAcentral's name for it is "Verrucomicrobia bacterium partial 16S ribosomal RNA". It matches the Rfam family "Bacterial small subunit ribosomal RNA", at positions 355 to 776 of the family's 1533-position model. The record is from RNAcentral. Lineage: Bacteria; Pseudomonadati; Verrucomicrobiota.
UGAGGAAUAUUGGUCAAUGGGCGAGAGCCUGAACCAGCCAAGUAGCGUGCAGGAUGACGGCCCUAUGGGUUGUAAACUGCUUUUAUAUGGGAAUAAAGUGAGGGACGUGUCCCUUAUUGCAUGUACCAUACGAAUAAGGACCGGCUAAUUCCGUGCCAGCAGCCGCGGUAAUACGGAAGGUCCAGGCGUUAUCCGGAUUUAUUGGGUUUAAAGGGAGCGUAGGCUGUUUGUUAAGCGUGUUGUGAAAUGUAAGAGCUCAACUUUUAGAUUGCGGCGCGAACUGGCAGACUUGAGUGCGCACAACGUAGGCGGAAUUCAUGGUGUAGCGGUGAAAUGCUUAGAUAUCAUGACGAACUCCGAUUGCGAAGGCAGCUUACGGGAGCGCAACUGACGCUAAAGCUCGAAGGUGCGGGUAUCGAACAGG